AGCAAGGUUAACCGAAUAGGGGAGCCGAAGGGAAACCGAGUCUUAACUGGGCGUUAAGUUGCAGGGUAUAGACCCGAAACCCGGUGAUCUAGCCAUGGGCAGGUUGAAGGUUGGGUAACACUAACUGGAGGACCGAACCGACUAAUGUUGAAAAAUUAGCGGAUGACUUGUGGCUGGGGGUGAAAGGCCAAUCAAACCGGGAGAUAGCUGGUUCUCCCCGAAAGCUAUUUAGGUAGCGCCUCGUGAAUUCAUCUCCGGGGGUAGAGCACUGUUUCGGCAAGGGGGUCAUCCCGACUUACCAACCCGAUGCAAACUGCGAAUACCGGAGAAUGUUAUCACGGGAGACACACGGCGGGUGCUAACGUCCGUCGUGAAGAGGGAAACAACCCAGACCGCCAGCUAAGGUCCCAAAGUCAUGGUUAAGUGGGAAACGAUGUGGGAAGGCCCAGACAGCCAGGAUGUUGGCUUAGAAGCAGCCAUCAUUUAAAGAAAGCGUAAUAGCUCACUGGUCGAGUCGGCCUGCGCGGAAGAUGUAACGGGGCUAAACCAUGCACCGAAGCUGCGGCAGCGACGCUUAUGCGUUGUUGGGUAGGGGAGCGUUCUGUAAGCCUGCGAAGGUGUGCUGUGAGGCAUGCUGGAGGUAUCAGAAGUGCGAAUGCUGACAUAAGUAACGAUAAAGCGGGUGAAAAGCCCGCUCGCCGGAAGACCAAGGGUUCCUGUCCAACGUUAAUCGGGGCAGGGUGAGUCGACCCCUAAGGCGAGGCCGAAAGGCGUAGUCGAUGGGAAACAGGUUAAUAUUCCUGUACUUGGUGUUACUGCGAAGGGGGGACGGAGAAGGCUAUGUUGGCCGGGCGACGGUUGUCCCGGUUUAAGCGUGUAGGCUGGUUUUCCAGGCAAAUCCGGAAAAUCAAGGCUGAGGCGUGAUGACGAGGCACUACGGUGCUGAAGCAACAAAUGCCCUGCUUCCAGGAAAAGCCUCUAAGCAUCAGGUAACAUCAAAUCGUACCCCAAACCGACACAGGUGGUCAGGUAGAGAAUACCAAGGCGCUUGAGAGAACUCGGGUGAAGGAACUAGGCAAAAUGGUGCCGUAACUUCGGGAGAAGGCACGCUGAUAUGUAGGUGAAGUCCCUCGCGGAUGGAGCUGAAAUCAGUCGAAGAUACCAGCUGGCUGCAACUGUUUAUUAAAAACACAGCACUGUGCAAACACGAAAGUGGACGUAUACGGUGUGACGCCUGCCCGGUGCCGGAAGGUUAAUUGAUGGGGUCAGCGCAAGCGAAGCUCUUGAUCGAAGCCCCGGUAAACGGCGGCCGUAACUAUAACGGUCCUAAGGUAGCGAAAUUCCUUGUCGGGUAAGUUCCGACCUGCACGAAUGGCGUAAUGAUGGCCAGGCUGUCUCCACCCGAGACUCAGUGAAAUUGAACUCGCUGUGAAGAUGCAGUGUACCCGCGGCAAGACGGAAAGACCCCGUGAACCUUUACUAUAGCUUGACACUGAACAUUGAGCCUUGAUGUGUAGGAUAGGUGGGAGGCUUUGAAGUGUGGACGCCAGUCUGCAUGGAGCCGACCUUGAAAUACCACCCUUUAAUGUUUGAUGUUCUAACGUUGACCCGUGAUCCGGGUUGCGGACAGUGUCUGGUGGGUAGUUUGACUGGGGCGGUCUCCUCCUAAAGAGUAACGGAGGAGCACGAAGGUUGGCUAAUCCUGGUCGGACAUCAGGAGGUUAGUGCAAUGGCAUAAGCCAGCUUGACUGCGAGCGUGACGGCGCGAGCAGGUGCGAAAGCAGGUCAUAGUGAUCCGGUGGUUCUGAAUGGAAGGGCCAUCGCUCAACGGAUAAAAGGUACUCCGGGGAUAACAGGCUGAUACCGCCCAAGAGUUCAUAUCGACGGCGGUGUUUGGCACCUCGAUGUCGGCUCAUCACAUCCUGGGGCUGAAGUAGGUCCCAAGGGUAUGGCUGUUCGCCAUUUAAAGUGGUACGCGAGCUGGGUUUAGAACGUCGUGAGACAGUUCGGUCCCUAUCUGCCGUGGGCGCUGGAGAACUGAGGGGGGCUGCUCCUAGUACGAGAGGACCGGAGUGGACGCAUCACUGGUGUUCGGGUUGUCAUGCCAAUGGCACUGCCCGGUAGCUAAAUGCGGAAGAGAUAAGUGCUGAAAGCAUCUAAGCACGAAACUUGCCCCGAGAUGAGUUCUCCCUGACUCCUUGAGAGUCCUGAAGGAACGUUGAAGACGACGACGUUGAUAGGCCGGGUGUGUAAGCGCAGCGAUGCGUUGAGCUAACCGGUACUAAUGAACCGUGAGGCUUAACC
This 2304-nucleotide ribosomal RNA is filed under the name Escherichia coli. Its description in RNAcentral is "bacterial LSU rRNA". It matches the Rfam family "Bacterial large subunit ribosomal RNA", at positions 639 to 2925 of the family's 2925-position model. The record is from RNAcentral. Lineage: Bacteria; Pseudomonadati; Pseudomonadota; Gammaproteobacteria; Enterobacterales; Enterobacteriaceae.